Long non-coding RNA from Pollicipes pollicipes, 252 nucleotides. RefSeq lists it as uncharacterized. The record is from RefSeq and is a predicted model, not a curated record. NCBI's taxonomy places the organism in Eukaryota, Metazoa, Arthropoda, Thecostraca, Pollicipedomorpha, Pollicipedidae. The transcript has 3 exons.
UCCAGCGCGCCAUGGGCUCGUGCCUGACCGCUGGAGCGGGACGAGACGCCGCCCAACCGCGCCAUCACGGACGCCCUGGACGAGCUCAAGGAGGAGGCAUUGAAGCUGCGCAAUCUGGUGGCCAACAGUGUGGCGCUGGUGGAGGAGAAGUGCUCGGCGCUGCUGGCCGACCCGCACGGCACCUCCCUGGCCGCCCGCUGUCGCGAGGUCGUCCAGCAGUGCUUCAAGUUCUCCUUCGAGUACCACAAGGAG